UUGACCUCGGAUCANGUAGGACUACCCGCUGAACUUAAGCAUAUCAAUAAGCGGAGGAA
RNAcentral lists this ribosomal RNA (59 nucleotides) under fungal sp. mh4011.1. Its description in RNAcentral is "partial 28S ribosomal RNA". It matches the Rfam family "Eukaryotic large subunit ribosomal RNA", at positions 1 to 58 of the family's 3401-position model. The record is from RNAcentral. Lineage: Eukaryota; Fungi.